GUUGCCAUCAGGUAAAGCUGGGAACUACUGGGGAGGCUGACCGGUGAUAAACCGGAGAAGGCGGGGAUGACGUCAAGUCCUCACUGGCCCUUACAUCCCGGGCUACACACGUGCUACAAUGGCAGGUACAGAGGGCUGCAAAGCCGCGAGGUAGAGCGAAUCCCAGAAAACCUGUCUCAGUCCGGAUUGAAGUCUGCAACUCGACUUCAUGAAGGCGGAAUCGCUAGUAACCGCGAAUCAGCAGGUCGCGGUGAAUACGUUCCCGGGCCUU
This 271-nucleotide ribosomal RNA is filed under the name uncultured Latescibacterota bacterium. RNAcentral's name for it is "uncultured Latescibacteria bacterium partial 16S ribosomal RNA". It matches the Rfam family "Bacterial small subunit ribosomal RNA", at positions 1114 to 1382 of the family's 1533-position model. The record is from RNAcentral. Lineage: Bacteria; Pseudomonadati; Candidatus Latescibacterota.